Molecule: RNA transcript, 5112 nt
Organism: Lagenorhynchus albirostris (white-beaked dolphin)
Lineage: Eukaryota; Metazoa; Chordata; Mammalia; Artiodactyla; Delphinidae
Gene: GATD1
Gene name: glutamine amidotransferase class 1 domain containing 1
Exons: 9
Source: RefSeq, a predicted model, not a curated record
GCUCAGCCCAGCCCCCAGGCUGCCGCGGCCCUUGACCUUGCCCCUGGCACGCUCCGCGCACGCGCAGGCCGCACAGGCCGUGGCUGGGCCCAUGGCGUCCGAGCGGCUCCCGAGCCGGCCAGCCUGCCUCCUCGUGGCCAGCGGCGCCGCCGAAGGCGUGUCAGCCCAGUCCUUCCUCCACUGCUUCACACUGGCCAGCGCCGCCUUCAAUCUGCAGGUGGCCACCCCCGGGGGGAAGACCAUGGACUUCGUGGACGUGAACGAGAGCAACGCGCGCUGGGUGCAGGACUUCCGCCUCAAGGCCUACGCCAGCCCCGCCAAGCUCGAGUCCAUCGAUGGUGCCCGGUACCACGCCCUCCUGAUUCCCAGCUGUCCUGGGGCCCUGGCUGACCUGGCCAGCAGCGGGUCCCUGGCUCGCAUCCUGCAGCACUUCCGCUCCGAGAGCAGUAGGUGGCCCCCAGGACUGGGGUUGGAGCCCAUCUGUGCUGUGGGCCACGGCGUUGCCGCCCUCUGCUGUGCCACCAAUGAGGACAGGUCCUGGGUGUUCCAAGGCUACAGCGUCACGGGGCCUUCCGUGUACGAGCUCGUCCGGGCGCCCGGCUUCGCCCACCUGCCCCUGGUCGUGGAGGACUUCGUGAAGGACGCGGGGGCCUGCUUCAGUGCCAGCGAGCCUGACGCCGUGCACGUGGUGCUGGACCGCCACCUGGUCACUGGCCAGAACGCCAGCUCCACCGUCCCGGCCGUGCAGAACCUGCUCUUCCUCUGCGGCAGCCGGAAGUGAGGUGGCCCCGAACUGAGCCCGCCAGCGGAUGCCACCACCUCCAGAUGUCCCGGGUGUCCCCAGAGGCAGCUGGACUCUCAGGCUUCCGGGAACCCCGUAUUCACGACACCCCAGCCUGGCUUGCUGGGGGCUCUGAGGAUCCUCCCUGAGGGUGCACGGUUUCAAAUGUGAUGGCAACCCCGUGUUAAGGCCAGGAUGGACUUUGGGGUGGAUGCUGCAGUGUCACCACGUCCCUUCUGAUGUUGAGAAACACUUUUAAUUGUGGAUACAACACAUGGCCCUGCCCAGGUGGCCUCGGGUCCUGACGGCCGAGCCUGGUUUUGCAGCUGCUCUGCCUGUUUCAAGGUGGAUGUGACGGAGCCGAGUUCCACUUGGAAGGAGGCCUUGAGUGGGGCUGGCUGGGCUGGGUUGGCAGGGGCGGCGGACAGUCCUGGGGAUGCCAGGUGGCUGUCCAGCCAGCCGAGUCCCAGUGCAGCCUGGAGGCUCUCCAGCUUCCCCAGGGCACCUGUCCUGGCCUGUGGCCCUUGGCUGGGGCCUCCUGGAGCCGCUCUGGCCCCGUGUGUCACCAUCCUUGUCUCAGCCUGACUAGCUCUGCCGCAUCCAACCCCUCAGGACAAAGGAGGAGGAAGCAGGGCGCCCGAGUCGGAGGCGAUGCUCCCACGUGCUCCUUUCUGUCCGGCAUCUCCCGGCGUCAGGGCCCCUGCCACCUGCUGGCCUACUCUGUGCACACAUGGGGCCUAGGCAGCCCCAUCGUUCAUCCCGUUUGCAGUCGCCACAUCACGGAGUCAUGGACGUCUCUGGACAAAAAGUUUUUUUCAAAUGAUGACGCCUUCUGACUGUGCAGACCAAGACCCAGGCAGGCUCUGCGGGGGCCCCUCCACAGCCCUGCUCCCUGGUCGCUGAUGCUUUCUGAGUCUGCCCCACUGGCUGGUCCUGGGUAUGCCAGGUCCAGGGCACUGGGGUGGCCACUGGGUGGGUGCAGGUGCCUGUGCCCCCGGGGGCUCCCCACAUUCCCGGGGUGUUUAAAAUAGACCCUGAGGUUUAUCCAAGAGAAAGAAAGACCUACAACUCUACAAAAACAGUGCGUGAACAUCUGUGGUGUUUUUCGCGAUAAGCUGUAGCUUCCAUAAAAGGAGCAUUCUUACUACUGGACGGUAUUAACGUCCAUGCGGUGGACCCUUGGAAGCAAGCUCAGCAAAGGAAACCAGACAGAUAUGAAAAACCCAAAAGCUCAGUGUGGGCCGGUCAUUUGUGGCUGGGAAUGGGGGCAGAUCGGGGGACAAGCAUGUUCUAAGGUGCUGGCCGCACAGGGUUGUACCUGUGAGCAGGCGGGCUUCAUGUCCGUCACUGGUAUCCACGGUCUCCAUCCUGAGGCCCCAGGCCAGGCAAGAUGGUGAGCUGAGACCUCCACGUCCUCCUAGGACACAGCCCUUUGAUCAGCUCGGGGGAGGGGGCUGCAGGAAGCCUUAGCCCCCCUGACCCGACCUGGCCAGGCAGCUGGGGGGCUGGGGGCGAGAAGCCCUGCCCACCUCAGCAGGUCCCUGUGCUAUGGCACCCAACCCAAGGCCACCCCCUCAGCACCAGGAUGGGGGGGGGCAGCUUGGGCAGGCUAGGUGGCCCGAGGGGUGUGGCCCAGGGUGGCACCUGUCCCCAGCUGCUCAGCACUCCCCUGCGUUUGGGGAGGGUGGCAGCUCCAGAACCGCAAGUCCCAGCCACCUGCUCCAACGCCAGCAGACGGGGGUUCCAGGAGCCCCACUCACCUGCAGGGAGCCAUGGGGAACAAGCCCAGCCCAGCAGGCACCCCCAGGGCGGGGGUGGGGGGCACAGGGGCUCCCCGUUGACCCUCAGCCAGACCCAGGGCAGCGUCCCACAGGACUGUCCUGACACCUGGCUCCACUGGCGCAGGCCUGGAGGGUCCGCCGGGGCCCCUUCCACCCACCUCGUGCUCCCAGGCAGUCUCACCCAGACCCUGUGUCCCCCCCACCCCCAGCUUCGCUGUUCCAAGAACAGAGGCUGGUCCCAGGGGAGAGGAAGGGGCUCCCCUGUGGACCACCCGUCACCGCCCCCCACCAACCCCUUCCCAGAAAAAUCCAGAGGGUGCAAGUGAAGUGUCUCUUCACAAGCUGUGCCCUGCGUCUGCUCGGGGUUUGAGGCUUGGAAGUCCUGCUCAGCGCACGCUACGCUGUCCCCACAAGGUGGCGCCAUCGCCCCACCUGUGCCUCCGCCCCAGGGCAGCGUGGAGCGGCUCAGAGGCAUGGGGGCCGUCCUAACAGGUCCGGACGGCCGGAGGCUCUGACGCAGAGGCUCCUCUCUGCGGGCCCGGCCCCCGCACAGCUCCAGCGGGCCCCUGGCACCCUCCCACCCAACUCCGCAAGCACAGCCUACAAGCCCCGGGGCCGUCGGGCUCCAGACACAGAGGAAGUGCUCAGGCAGUCCCUGCCUUCUGUGUCCAGGCUCCCAGAAGCAGGUGAGGGGCUGUCACCCCUGCCUGGAGGCCCCCAGGGGGCUCUUGACCCAACCCCGCCUCCAUCGGGCCAGGCUGCAGCCAGCGAGAAAGGACGCACACACGGAACGAAAAGUGACACCUUUAAUGCGCUGAGCAGAAUUUUACAUAAAAUCAGAAAUCUGUGAUUAAUCCCCGCUCCGAUUAGUAAAAAAAAUCCAAGAUUCGUCGCAAGGCAUAUGUGCAAUUAGGCCCCAAUUCAAAGUCGGCGGCAUAUCUGGUCCAGCCUCAGGUGCCAAGCUAUUUUCCGUUCUCCGCGCUGAACAUUCGUUCCUAGAGAUGGGCAGUGUGAGCUGGUGCGCUGUCCUCCCCCGCCCCGCCCCGGCCCCUCCCAACCGUAACCCCGGGCUCUCACCCUCAGCAUCCGCUCCAGCUUCACAGCGUCCGCGGCGAACCUGCGGAUCCCGUCUGAGAGCUUCUCCACGGCCAUGCGGUCCUCGUUGUGCAGCCAGCGGAAGGCCUUCUCGUCCAGGUGGACCUUCUCCAGGUCACUGGCCUGGGCUGGGGGAGGGCAUGCGCCGGGGCCUUGGGCUCAGAGCCGCCCUAAGGCCCCUCCCUGGCGCGGCCCCCACGGCAGGUGGGCUGGACAGCAGGUGAGUGCAGGCUGGCCCUGCGGCUCUAGGCUCCACACCCUCAGGUGACGGAGGCACCGGUGUCCCCAUGGGGGCCUUGAGCGGGGCGGGGGGCUUCUUACCUGCCUUGACCGAGAGCGUGGGCGCCAGCUUGCUGUGGUCCUUGAGCAGCUCCCCCAGGAGCUGGGGUGAGAUGGUGAGGAAGUCGCAGCCCGCCAGGGCCUUGAUCUCGCCCGUGUUGCGGAAGGAGGCGCCCAUGACGACGGUCUCGUAGCUGAACUUCUUGUAAUAGUUGUAGAUCUUGGUGACGCUCUUCACUCCUGGGGAGACAUGCCCGGAGCUGCCACGCCGGCCGCCGGCAGCAGACAGCGCAGCACCCCUCCGCCCCUGCCUCCCAGUGCUCCUCACCGGGGUCCUCCAGGGGCUCAAAGGACUUCUUGUCCGUGUUGGCCACGUGCCAGUCGAGGAUGCGGCCCACGAAGGGGGAGAUGAGCGUCACCCCCGCCUCAGCGCAGGCCACGGCCUGGGCGAAGGAGAAGAGCAGCGUCAUGUUGCAGUGGAUGCCGUGCUGCUCCUCCAGCUGCCUGUGGGCGGGGGAGGGCGGCAUGAACAGCGGGGACACAGCGAGAAACGCUCGCGAUUCAGUAACUGCAAAGGCAGGAACAGGGUCGCCCCAUCCUCGUCAAGAGCAACUCUGGGGCUUCCCUGGUGGCUCAGUGGUUAAGAAUCCACCUGCCAACGGAGGGGACACGGGUUCGAGCCCUGGUCCGGGAAGAUCUCACAUGCCGCGGACCAACUAAGCCCCGUGCGCCACAACUACUGAGCCUGCGCUCUAGAGCCCGCGAGUCACAACUACUGAGCCCGUGUGCCACAACUACUGAAGCUCAUGAGCCUAGAGCCUGUGCUCGUCUACAAGAGAAGCCACCGCAAUGAGAAGCCUGCACACCGCAAAAAAGGGUAGCCCCCGCUUGCCGCAAUUAGAGAAAGCCCACACGCAACAAAGACCCAAUUCAGCCAAAAAUAAAUAAAAUAAAUUUAUUUAAAGAAAAAACAAAACAAAAAACCCCCCAAAAAACUCUGGAGGAACUUCCCUGGUGGUCCAGUGGGUAAGACUCCACGCUCUCAAUGCAGUGGGCCCAGCUUCGAUCCCUGGUUGGGAAACUAGAUCCUGCACACAUGCUUCCACUAAGAAGUCCGCAGGCCUCAACAAAGCCCCGGCAUAGCCAAAAAUAAACAAACAGAUAUUUAAAAACAAA